GAUGUACAGAAGUGCUUAAGUCUCUAUCAUUGGAUACAUUAACUCUGGUUCACUAGGUUACACACUUAAGAUACCAUGAGUCUAAAACAGAGGUGUUGAACUCAAUUGCACAGGGAGGCAAAACUCAAAGCACGCUUUAGGUUGCGGGCCGAACAGGAUAAACAUUUAUUGAACACGCUAAAACUAAAUGUUUUUUAACAUAAAUAUGAAUAAAAACAGACAGCCAUAUUAUUCCAGAAUACAUAAAAGUAUACUUUAUAUAACUUAAAAUACUCCAUCAAAAUAUCCCUUGUCAAAAUUAUACAAGUUACAACUAUGAACAUGCUGCAAAAAAAUUAUACUUUUCCGCAAAAAUACAAAUAACAAAUCAAAACGUAUUUUUUGCUCUUAUGCUAUUUUCUCAGAGCUGGAUGCUUGGCAUCUUUUCUUGGCAACAAGUUGGUUUAGGUUUGGUGUAAGGUUCUGUGUUGUGGAGAUUUUCAGGAUGGACUGCAGGUGUUCAUCACUGAGACGACUCCUGUGUGCUGUUUUGUUAAUCUUCAUCACUGAGAACAGCCUCUCACACAGAUACUGUAUAUGCUACCAAACAUGCACAAGGUGCACAAGCAAGCACAAUGCCUUCUUAGAUUAAAUUCCUUAAUUACAGCUACAUUAGCUCCACAAAUAAGACACACGGGUUUACCACAAAGUCACUAAACAUAUACUCAGCCUACAACUAUACAACUUUGCCUUUCGCCAUUGUUAGAGGCUAGCUUUGACUUUACAGCAACAGACGCUUGUCUUGAUUGAUGCGGGAAUGUUCCCAGGUAACCUAUUGUUCUGCAAGGCAGCUGUUGCACUGCAUUAUGGGAUCUGUAGUUUGUGUGUUAUCAGCGAAUAGAUCUAUAUAAAAUGAUCUCGCGGGCCGGAUAUAAUUGUACGCCGGGCCGGAUGUGGCCCACAGGCCUCGAGUUUGGCACCUAUAGUCUAAAACAUUGUUUAUGUACAGUGCAAUUUAGACAAAAGACACUAACCCCACUUGCUUAUGUUUUGAAAAGCAAUUACACAGUACACUACUUUCAGUUGUUGAUUGCUGAGGAUUAAUCCUUUCAGUUUCCUCAUCAGGAGGUGAAAUGCACGUUCCAUUGGUUUACAGUCUGGCGAUUGUUUAUCAGUUGGCAGUGUGUUUUGGGUCAUUGUCUUGUUGCAUGAUGAAGCUCCUGCCAAGUAGAUUGCAUGCAUUUCUUUGUAAACUGGCAGACAAAAUGUUUCUGUAGACUUUAGAAUUCUGUUUUUUUAUUCUUUUCAACAAAAAAUGCAGACUUCACAGGCAAAACCCAGGACUCAAAUCAAGAGUCAACAUUCAUAGCUAUUUAAUUUUGCACCUGGUCAACAAGAAACCCAUACAAGUGCCAUGUUUCAAGUUGCUUAACACGUAGCAAAUAUUCUGAUAUUUAUUGUACGAAAAAAACAAUAUAAUCAAAAAAUUUUGUGGUUCUAAUACUUUUGAAUGUGAUUGUGUUUGAACCUGACCAAUCAGAUCAGAUUCAUUUGUAUUUUGUCAAUUUACUCUAAAUACAAUGCUUUAAAAUAUUUUUAAUGAAAUGUAUAGAACAUAUCAACAUCUAUAUAUUUUAAAUUAGUUUGCAUAAAAUAAGUCAAGAAUAGUGCAGGGUAUUAUGCAAGAAAUGUUUUUUGUACAAAUGCUUUUAUUUUAAAAAUCCUAAAUAGAAAAUGAAACUAUAAUUCACAGAACAAACAUUGGCAGUGCAGCAGCCACAUCUGCAGGAUUCUCUAAACCCCACUUUCCAUCACCAAAGAGUGCACCAAAAUCCUAUAUAUCAGGAUUCCACUUAGCAGAUGAUUACACCAACACUGGAGAUUUCAAAAUGCGUCGAAAAAUGUAAUGAUGACAGAAGACAGAGUCUUCUACUUCUACUAUGCAAAAGUGCUGUUACUGCUGUUUAGUUUUUUGUUUGUUUGUUUUUGUUUUUUUUUUCAAUAAGGCUUGGCUAAUUUGAAUCUUACUUAUGCUGCUUGUGUAGAAUAGUCAAAAAAACAUAGAAGUAGUUACUAUAACACAUAACAGGUGUUUUGUAAUGCCAGAUAAAAUAGUGAGGAAAAGCAACUUGGAUACUGAGAAUACUGUAAACAUUUUUGUUCUUCGACAUUAAGAAUGUAAUUUCAUUUUCUGAUAUAUGUAUAUAUGUAUAUGCUGGCAAUAUGAUUCAUAGACACCAUUUUUAUAACACAUUGUAUCUGACAAAUUCUUUAUGUAUUAUGUUAUGGGCAUGUGGAAUGAGAAUAAAGACUGGAACAUUUGUUGGUGGCUAAUAUAAUCCUUCACUCAUUGCAAAAAAUACAUAGUAUUAUGAUAAACUAGAUAUAGAUUGUUGAUAUUUUUUUUAUGAUAAUAUUGCAACAGUUCUAACCAUGCACAAAUUACCACCACAUCUAUGUCAAACAUUUAGAUAUUUGCAGUGCAUAUGCAAGAGUCAUGGUAAUAGUUCAUACCGGAAGAUUAGUCACAAACAGGAAACCAGGGAGGGGGAAGGGGGGUGUUAGGAAAGUUGUACAUACACACACGGAAAUAUUAUUUUCUUUUAUUAGAAAAUUUGUUCCGCACAAAUGUCUGCACAAAGAUAAACAUAAACAGCACUCAUUAUAAAAUACUCAUUAUAACAACCAAAAUCUAAAAAUCUAAAUGUAAGGGGUAAAAGAAAAUAUACCCUUCUUUAAUUCUAUGAUUGUUUUCCACUGUCUAAAUAAUAAACAUGUGAUCCUCUCUGUCUUCUAUAUAAACAAAACAAUAUACUUAGAUGACUACAAAAAACAAUAUAUUUCAGUAUGUAGUCAUUUUAUACAAUCCAAAAGAUUUAGAAAAAAUAAGUACACCUUUCCUACUACCAACAUUUUGGCCAUGUCAAAAUGUAAGUCCAGACCUUAAACUUCUGUGGAAAGCUGUUAAGAGAGCUUUGCAUAAAUGUAUGCUUUUAAACAUCAAAGUUCUGAAGCAAUGUGUGGGCCAAAAAUCCUCAAACCAAUUGCAAAGAAUACUUCAAAUUAUUGCUUCUAAAAGUCGUUCUACAUACUAGUAAUAAUCUUUACAAAUAUUUUUGUUAACAUUAUAAAAACUAAAAACAUAGAAUGUUAGGAGGUUGUACUUUCCUUUUCCCCCAAAAAUAUUGAACCUUAUUUGCACACAUUUUGAUAAGAAACUAAAUUAAAUUACAUUAAAAACUUUCGUAGAUUUAUAACAUACAAUGAUGUAAAAUAAAGAAAUUUACAACACAGUUUGAGCAAAAAAAUGUCCAUUUUAAUUAUCAACAAAAACCACCAAUGUAAAUGUUCUCAAAUAUUUUAAUUGUCAUUAUUUAAUUUCAAACUGAACAUUCACUGAGUGGAAAUCACAAUUAGUAAGCAAGGUUUUAAACAUCUUUACCUAAACUGCUUUUAACCCCACAUUUGAAAAACUAGCGCUUAACACAACAUGGCAAUGUUAGAAAAGUUUUCGUCAUUUUGUUAACAUCUCAAAAAAAAUGUAUAUUUAACAUUCAGUUAAAUUA
Long non-coding RNA from Tachysurus fulvidraco (yellow catfish), 3545 nucleotides. RefSeq lists it as uncharacterized. The record is from RefSeq and is a predicted model, not a curated record. The transcript has 3 exons. Lineage: Eukaryota; Metazoa; Chordata; Actinopteri; Siluriformes; Bagridae.